AAGGAGAAAAGUAGAAGACGAUU
This 23-nucleotide microRNA is filed under the name Caenorhabditis elegans. Lineage: Eukaryota; Metazoa; Nematoda; Chromadorea; Rhabditida; Rhabditidae. The record is from RNAcentral.